Molecule: transfer RNA, 73 nt
Filed under: Ailuropoda melanoleuca (giant panda)
Lineage: Eukaryota; Metazoa; Chordata; Mammalia; Carnivora; Ursidae
Rfam family: tRNA
About the family: Transfer RNA (tRNA) molecules are approximately 80 nucleotides in length. Their secondary structure includes four short double-helical elements and three loops (D, anti-codon, and T loops). Further hydrogen bonds mediate the characteristic L-shaped molecular structure. tRNAs have two regions of fundamental functional importance: the anti-codon, which is responsible for specific mRNA codon recognition, and the 3' end, to which the tRNAs corresponding amino acid is attached (by aminoacyl-tRNA synthetases). tRNAs cope with the degeneracy of the genetic code in two manners: having more than one tRNA (with a specific anti-codon) for a particular amino acid; and 'wobble' base-pairing, i.e. permitting non-standard base-pairing at the 3rd anti-codon position.
Source: Rfam by way of RNAcentral
GCCUGGCGGGCUUAGUCGGUGCAGCAUGUGACUCUUGAUCUCAGGGUUGUGAGUUCGAGCCCCACGCUGGGUG